RNAcentral lists this ribosomal RNA (1666 nucleotides) under metagenome. Its description in RNAcentral is "bacterial LSU rRNA". It matches the Rfam family "Bacterial large subunit ribosomal RNA", at positions 1211 to 2925 of the family's 2925-position model. The record is from RNAcentral.
CUCGCAAGAGCAAGUGGUAGGAGAGCGUUGCAUACGCCUGCGAAGGGGUACGGAUAACGAACCCUGGAGGUACUGCAAGUGAUCAUGCCGGAACGAGUAACGAUAAAACAGGUGAGAAUCCUGUUCGCCGAAAGCCUAAGGAUUCCUGGGGAAGGUAAAUCCGCCCAGGGUUAGUCGGACCCUAACACGAGGCCGAAAGGCGUAGUGGAUGGAAGGCAGGUUAAUAUUCCUGCACCGCGUUGGAAGGUUGAGAGCAUCAGGACGUUUUCUGGAAAGUGAUCGGCCCAUUAGAAGUGGCCGUGCCGCAAGGCCGAGGGCAUAUACGAUCCCGAAGUCAUUGGAAGGAGAACCAAGAAAAGCCGAUGCUGGACGACCAACGUGCCCGUACUAAAACUGACACAGGUAGGCGAGAUGAGUAUUCUAAGGCGCUCGAGAGAACGCUCGUGAAGGAACUCUGCAACAUGGCUCCGUAACUUCGGGAUAAGGAGCGCCCUUUGGGGUGUUAAAGCCUCGGGGGGCCGCAGUGAAAAGGGUCUAGCGACUGUUUACUAAAAACACAGGUCUGUGCGAAGGCGUAAGCCGAAGUAUACAGACUGACGCCUGCCCGGUGCCGGCAAGUUAAGGAAGAGGGUUAGCCGUAAGGUGAAGCUCGCAACCGAAGCUCCGGUAAACGGCGGCCGUAACUAUGACGGUCCUAAGGUAGCGAAGUUCCUUGUCGGGUAAGUUCCGACCUGCAUGAAUGGCGUAACGACUGGACCACUGUCUCCACGAGCGACUCGGUGAAACUGUAGUUGUCGUGAAGAUGCGACAUACCCGCGAUUAGACGGAAAGACCCCGUGAACCUUUACUGUAGGAUAAUAUUGGGUUUAGACCCAACAUGCGUAGUGUAGCUGGGAGACUAUGACCGCUGGCUUCUGGGUCAGCGUGAGUCGACGAUGAAACACCAGCCUUGUUGUGUUUGAAUUCUAACUCCGAUCCCGUGAAACCGGGCGGUGGACAGUGUUAUCUGGGCAGUUUGACUGGGGCGGUCUCCUCCUAAAGAGUAACGGAGGAGUUCAAAGGUACCCUCAGCCCGGUUGGCAAUCGGGCAUCGAGCGUAAAGGUAGAAGGGUGCUUGACUGCGAGACCGAUGGGUCGAGCAGGUGCGAAAGCAGGACUUAGUGAUCCGGCGGUGCUGGAUGGAAAGGCCGUCGCUCAACAGAUAAAAAGUACUCCGGGGAUAACAGGCUUAUCUCCUCUGAGCGUUCAUAGCGGCGAGGAGGUUUGGCACCUCGAUGUCGGCUCAUCGCAUCCUGGGGGUGGAGAAGCUCCCAAGGGUUUGGCUGUUCGCCAAUGAAAGCGGUACGUGAGCUGGGUUUAGACCGUCGUGAGACAGGUCGGUCCCUAUCUGUCGUGGGCGCAGGAAACGUGAGCGGUUUUUCUCCUAGUACGAGAGGACUGGAGAGGACGUACCUCUGGUGUACGAGUUGUCGCGCUAGCGGCAUCGCUCGGUAGCCACGUACGGCCAGGAUAAACGCUGAAGGCAUAUAAGCGUGAAACCCUCCGCAAGAUGACGUUUCCCGUAGCAAUACGAAGGCUCCCGGAAGACCACCGGGUCGAUAGGCCGGAUGUGUAAGGUCAGCAAUGGCCUCAGCUUACCGGUACUAACAGCCGAUCGCUUGACCAC